RNAcentral lists this transfer RNA (73 nucleotides) under Ictidomys tridecemlineatus (thirteen-lined ground squirrel). Its description in RNAcentral is "Spermophilus tridecemlineatus (thirteen-lined ground squirrel) tRNA". It matches the Rfam family "tRNA". From Rfam's summary of the family: Transfer RNA (tRNA) molecules are approximately 80 nucleotides in length. Lineage: Eukaryota; Metazoa; Chordata; Mammalia; Rodentia; Sciuridae. The record is from Rfam by way of RNAcentral.
GGGGAUUUAGCUCAGUUGGUAGAGUGCUUGCCUUGCAUGCACAAAUCCCUGGGUUCAAUCCUCAGCAUCACCA